Molecule: long non-coding RNA, 4562 nt
Organism: Anguilla rostrata (American eel)
Lineage: Eukaryota; Metazoa; Chordata; Actinopteri; Anguilliformes; Anguillidae
Exons: 3
Source: RefSeq, a predicted model, not a curated record
CAGCUGUGUCGGCAUUGUUGAUGUCGGCAGGAAAGUUUGAUACUUCGUCAAAGAUACUUUGAAAAGCUUCUAAAAUAGUGAUACUGGAAAUACUGCCCAAAGAUGGCACAAGACACAUCCAAAGAAUUAAGCAUAGUCUUACUUGGAAAACCAGGAGCAGGGAAGAGUGCCUCAGGAAAUACUAUCCUGGGCAAGAAUGCUUUUUUGUCUAAAAAAUGUUUCAAAUCCGUCACCUCAGAAAUUGAAGUUGCAAGAUCGUGUGUUAAUGGAAUGAUGGUGGCUGUGUAUGACACUCCAGGAUUUCUUGCCACUGAAGAAGAAAAUAAACUAAAAUGUCAGCAACUAAUCAAAACAUGUGAAUCUGAUCUUUGUGUUCUAGUGGUGGUGAAAAUAGACAGAUUUACACCAGAUGAUAAGAAAAUUGUUGACAACAUUGUAGAACUUUUAGAUGAGCAGUUAAUGCAGAGUUGGAUCCUUUUCACUGGAGGUGACGAACUUGAAGGUGAGAAAAUUGAGGACUUCAUUAAUGAGACAGAUAACCUCAAGGAAGUUGUUCAACAAUUUGGAAAUCGUUACCAUGUGUUCAAUAACAAGAAUAAUAAUCAAGACGACGUUCAGGUUGGACUACUUCUGAACAAAGCAUUCAAGGAAUUCCAGAUACACUCCAGUUUCAACAGGCCCCAAGAAAGCCCAACACAUAACCAUAAUCAUCCUGGGAGUAGAAUUGUGCUUGGGGAAACUGGACCUGGAAAGAGUGCAACAGAUUACAAUUUAUUUCAAUCUGUUACAUCCAUAUUUCCAGCAAUAGGAGGCUUUGUGGGAGAAGCAUGUGGAGGAAAAGUGGGACAAGCGGUGGGACAAACUGUGGCAGGAGCAUUGGUAGGAAUACUGAAUGCACCAGAGGGAGAACGAUUGGAAGGAGCAAUAAAAGGAGCAGCAGUAGAAGCAGUGGCAGCAGCUGAAGAAGCAGUGAACGGAAAUGUACUGAAAGGAGCAGUGGCAGGAGCAGUGGCAGGAGCAGUGAUAGGAGCAGUGAACGCACCAAAGGAAGAACAAUUAGAAAGAGCAUUGAAAGGAGCAUUGAAAGGAGCAGUGGUAAAAGCAGUCAAAGAAGUGAUGAGACCAGAGGAAAAAGUACUGAAAAGAGCAGUGGCAGAGGCAGUGAUAGGAGCAGUGGAAGGAGCAGUGAAUGCACCAAAGGGAGAACAAUUAAAAGGCGCAGGGUAUGGAUCAUUGAAUGGAGCAAUUACCGUAGCAGUGAAAGAAGUAAGGAGAAGAACAUUGGAAGUAGCAGUGGGACAAGCUCCAGGAGGAAAAGUGGUAGAAGCAGCGGGAGGAGCAGCAGUGGUAGAAGCAGUGGGAGGAGCAGCAGUGGUAGAAGCAGUAGGAGGAGCAGCAGGGGGAACAGUGGUAGAAGCAGUGGGAGGAGCAGCAGGGGGAGCAGUGGUAGAAGCAGUAGGAGGAGCAGCAGUGGUAGAAGCAGUGGGAGGAGCAGCAGGGGGAGCAGUGGUAGAAGAAGUAGGAGGAGCAGCAGGAGAAGCAGUGGUAGAAGCAGUGGGAGGAGCAGUAGUGGGAACGUUGUUCGAAGCAAUGGGAGGAGCAGCAGGAGGAAUGGUAGUAGCAGUAGCAGUAACAGUAAAAGCAGCAACAGCAGCCACAGCAAGAAAAGUGUGAGGAACAAUGGGUUGGAGUAAAUAAUCAAUGAUGGUACUGGUUCAGGCAAUCUCAAGAAGGGGAAGGUUCUGCAGACUGUCCUGCUCUUGCCUCUUCUACCCCCAUACUUGGUUUGUGUGGGUGCCUUUUAGCUUUGUGUCUUUGCAAUUAUUCUAAUUCCCUGUUUCUGUCCUUUUGUAUCCUGUAUACUCAAUUUUCAAGCUGAGCUUAGAAUAAAAUAAUAUCCCUUGUAUGGAUGCACAGUAUAGUAUGUAUAAGUAUGUAGGCUUUUUGGUUUAAAUGUACUGUUUUGCACCCUUGAAUGCAUACAGAAAUUGUUACAUUGUUUCUGUCUCCAACAAUUUCGGUGAUUUAACUGUUUAUGUUAAAUAUCUGAAGCAUAAUAUUGCAAAACAGUAACAUCAAGAAAUAAAUUGCAUUAAAUCUCAAAGAUCACAGUUUAAAUAUGCUCUAACUUAUCAGUCACAAAAAGUUCUACAAUUGCAAUUUGUGCACUGAUAUUACUGAAGUUAGUAUAAAGCAUCACUUUGGAGUUUGUAUAGGAACAGGAAAUAAUUAUUUAAAUAAAUUGACUUCAGUUGUCUGUGCAGUUUGAUAUUGGUCACAUGAAACCCAUGUCAUGUGCAUUGUGAUUUCUUAAUUGUAUUGUUUGCUUGUACCAAAGGGCAGAUGGUGAUCAUGUUGGAGGGCCAACAUUUUGCUAAAUCAUUGUAUUAUUUUCUAAUUGCAUGUAUACCUACUGUAACUAUCACUGUAGAAAUAAAUGUGAAUGCAGCAUAUGAAUGGGUUUGCUGUAUACAGCUACCAACUGUGUACUAAUUACAACAUUAAGCAGUUAAUAUAUGAACUAUUCAGCUUGAAAUAGAAUACAUUUUACACAAUUUUGUUUUUACAAAAUGCAUUUCUUAAGAGUGCAUUUAUACAUACCUAUACAUGGCCAAUGUUUGUGCAUCUGCAAACAAGUGAUGUUAAUUCAUUCUAAUUUUGCAUUCACAUGAAAAUAUGUUAUAAUUUCAAUAUGCACCUGUAUCAGACCUGGGUCAAAUAUGUAUUUGUUUUGGAUUCAAAUACUUUUCUGUGCUCUGUUGAUCUUGCCUGGUGUUAUUGAGCCUGCCAAUAUGACCAAAAGGUGGGGUUUGCACUGUUUGAGAGUAUUUCAUUGGUUCCAAUACACCAGACAAGAUCAGUAAAGCGUAGAAAAGUAUUUGAAUCCAAAACAAAUACAUAUUUGGUCUGACCUGUAUAAAUGGUUCAGCUUGAAUACUAAAUGUUUUGUGCUGAAUUUGAAGAAUUCAUAUGUCAACGGUGAAUGGGCAAUUACUAGCUGCAUUGUACAAUCACAAUGAGAUAACUGUCAAUACAAAUAUUUUAAAUUUAUGUCAAUUAUAGCAUUAACUGUAGCCUAUAACACCUUCAUACUGUUGAAUGUAUAUGGAACGCAUUGUCUUCAUAUGGGAUGUCAUCUGUGAGCAACUUACAGAAUCAGGGAAUUUUGUUAUGCUAAGCAAUACUUUAUUUGGACUGGAUUAUGUAAAACAAAUAAAAUUGCAGUAAUCCAUUGGAUAUACACUACAUGGACAAAAAUAUGUGGACAGCUGAACAUCGCACCCAUAUGUGCUUGUUCAACAUUUCAUUCCAAAACCAUGGGCAUUACUAUGGAGUUGGUCCCCCUUUGUUGCUAGAACAGCCUCCACUAUUCUGGGAAGGUUUUCCCUUCAAUUUUGGAACAUGGCUGUGGGGAUUCGCUUCCAUUAAGCCACAAGAAUAUUAGUGAGGUCAGGCACUGAUGUUGGGCAAUAAGGCCUGGCUCACAUUCCAAUUCAUCUCAAAGGUAUGUAAUGGGGUUGAGGUCAGGGCUCUGUACAGGCCAGUCAAGUUCUUCCACAUCAGCAAACCAUUUAUUUAUUGAACUUGCUUCAUUCACGGGAACAUUGUCAUACUGAAAGGGGCCUAGCCCAAACCAUGAGAAACAGCCCCACACCAUUAUUUCUCCUCCACCAAAUUUUCUAUUUGGCUCUAUGCAUUCAGGCAGUUAGCAUUCUCCUGCCAUUUGCCAAACCAAGAUUUGUCCGUGAGACUGCCAGAUAGUGCAGCAUGAUUCAUCACUCCAGAGAACGUGUUUCCACUGCUCCAGAUUCCAAUGGUAGUGUGCUUUACACCAGUCCACCACUACGCUUGACAUUGCACAAUGUGAUCUUAGGCUUGUGUGCUGCUGCUUGGCCUUGGAAACCCAUUUUUAUAAAUCUCUCAAUGAACAGUUCUAGUGAGUGUUGCAACCCAGAACAGACCAUUUUUACAUGCUAUGGCACUCAGAACUCCUGUUCUAUGAGCUUGUGUGGCCUACCACUUUGUGGCUGAGCUGUUGUUUUUCCUAGACAUUUCUACUACACAAUAUCAGCACUUACUGUUGACCAGGGCAGCUCUAGCAGGGCAGAAAUUUGACAAACUGACUUGUUGGAAAGGUGGCAUCCUGCGACAGUGCCACGUUGAAAGUCACUGAGCUCUUCAGUAUGACCUUUGCAGUAUCUACUGCAAAUGUUUGUCUAUGGAGUUUAGAUGGCUAUAUGCUUGAUUAUAUGCACCCAUUAGCAAUGAAGUAGCCAAAUCUACAAAUUUGAAGGGGUGGCCACAUACAUUUGGCCAUGUAUGUUCCUUAUGUGGCAAUGAGUGACAUAACCAUGGCAAGUGUGGAAUAUCUGUAAAAUAACACUGAUUUUUUUAAUGAAGAAUGUUUUCAUAUUUGGAGCUAUAUAGCAUCACCAUGUCUUUUGAUUUGUUUAAUUCCUAAGGUCAUGAUGAUUUGUGUGAAAAUAAAAAUUCCAAGUUUCAUCACUUUGUCAAACAAUUUAUUAUCUUGUUCUAAUAAACCAUUCUGACAUGCAAGUUAA